AAGUCGUAACAAGGUUUCCGUAGGUGAACCUGCGGAAGGAUCAUUAUAAAAAAUUCGGGCUUGGGUUUAACCCAAGACCUGCCCCCAAAAGGGACCUUUUGUGCACUGUAAAAUUUUUUCACUUAAGCUUUGUCUGAUUGAUAUUUGUACCUGAAAGGGACAAGAAUUUUAAUCUAAAACAACUUUUAACAAUGGAUCUCUUGGCUCUC
RNAcentral lists this unclassified non-coding RNA (209 nucleotides) under Olpidium brassicae. RNAcentral's name for it is "partial internal transcribed spacer region". The stretch from base 1 to 46 matches the Rfam family "Eukaryotic small subunit ribosomal RNA", at positions 1786 to 1831 of the family's 1831-position model. The record is from RNAcentral. RNAcentral also lists the same sequence under 1 other name. Lineage: Eukaryota; Fungi; Olpidiomycota; Olpidiomycetes; Olpidiales; Olpidiaceae.